This 89-nucleotide transfer RNA is filed under the name Candidatus Spyradocola merdavium. Its description in RNAcentral is "tRNA-Ser". The record is from RNAcentral. Lineage: Bacteria; Bacillati; Bacillota; Clostridia; Christensenellales; Christensenellaceae.
GGAGAUAUAAGGGGUUUUAUCCGUUUCACGCCCCUCGAAAUCAAGUUGUCCGAAAGGGCACGUGGGUUCGAAUCCCACCGUCUCCGCCA